RNAcentral lists this transfer RNA (64 nucleotides) under Cavia porcellus (domestic guinea pig). It matches the Rfam family "tRNA", at positions 1 to 62 of the family's 71-position model. Rfam says of the family: Transfer RNA (tRNA) molecules are approximately 80 nucleotides in length. Their secondary structure includes four short double-helical elements and three loops (D, anti-codon, and T loops). The record is from Rfam by way of RNAcentral. Lineage: Eukaryota; Metazoa; Chordata; Mammalia; Rodentia; Caviidae.
GGGGAUUUGGCUUAGCGGCGUAAGCACCUGCCUUGCAAGCAGGUAGUCGUGAGUUCGAUCCCUG